This 472-nucleotide ribosomal RNA is filed under the name uncultured bacterium. RNAcentral describes it as "partial 16S ribosomal RNA". It matches the Rfam family "Bacterial small subunit ribosomal RNA", at positions 30 to 507 of the family's 1533-position model. The record is from RNAcentral.
AGUGAACGCUGGCGGUAGGCCUAACACAUGCAAGUCGAACGGCAGCACAGUAAGAGCUUGCUCUUACGGGUGGCGAGUGGCGGACGGGUGAGGAAUACAUCGGAAUCUACUUUUUCGUGGGGGAUAACGUAGGGAAACUUACGCUAAUACCGCAUACGACCUACGGGUGAAAGCAGGGGAUCUUCGGACCUUGCGCGAUUGAAUGAGCCGAUGUCGGAUUAGCUAGUUGGCGGGGUAAAGGCCCACCAAGGCGACGAUCCGUAGCUGGUCUGAGAGGAUGAACGGACACAGUGGGAAUGAGAGAAGGCCCAGACUCGUACGGGAGGCAGCAGGGGGGAAUAUGGCACAACGGGCGGAAGGGUGAGGAAGCAACGACGCGGGCGGGAGGACGGGCUGAGGGGUGGAAAACGAUGGAGACUGGGACGAAGCGGGAGGGAAGGUAAGGGGUAAAGAAGAAAGGGCUAACUACGUG